This is a non-coding RNA of Phoenix dactylifera (date palm), 1973 nucleotides long. Lineage: Eukaryota; Viridiplantae; Streptophyta; Magnoliopsida; Arecales; Arecaceae. The record is from RefSeq and is a predicted model, not a curated record.
GAAGCGCAGCGCAUAAAGAGGAGCCACUGGAUAGAACGUCCCUCUAGUUGUGGUCCUCGAGCAAACACGAGGUCUACCACGGCAGGUUCGAAAGCUCCACCAUCAAACUCCCUCCCCCCCUCGUACGCUCUCUUUAUCUCCGCAUCCCUUGCUUCUCUUGUCCGCGUUCGGUUUCCAGACCAACUCUAAAAGCGCCAAGCCUCGCCCUCCCUUCAAUUUUUCACAAAUGGAGUUGUGCAUGGCGACGCUCUCUCGUGCCCACACUGCCGUUGCCCCGUUUCUCUCUGCGCCUCCGCUCUCGUCGCGCGUACGCGAUUUCAGGAAACUCAGUGUAGUCUGCCUUUGUAGAAUUAACUCCGAAUCCACCGAGUCUCCCAAGGACACUCAGAUGGUUGUAUCAAUAACUGGAGCUACUGGUUUUAUUGGUCGAAGAUUGGUUCAAAAGUUACUUUCAGAUAAACACAAAGUUCGUGUUUUAACACGAUCCAGAACAAAGGCACAAUUCGUUUUUCCUGUUGAGAAUUUUCCUGAAAUUAUAAUUGCUGAGGAAGAAGAAUGGAGAAAAUGCAUUGAAGGGUCAAAUGCUGUUGUUAACUUAGCUGGAAUGCCCAUAAGUACAAGAUGGUCACCUGAGAUCAAAAAGGAGAUUAAGCAAAGCCGUAUUAGUGUUACCUCAAAGGUCGUAGGUUUAAUAAACCACACUAGUGCGGAAGUCCGACCUUCAGUUUUGGUCAGUGCAACAGCUAUUGGUUAUUAUGGCACAAGUGAAACUCAAGUCUUUGAUGAGACUAGUCCUUCAGGAAAUGACUACCUAUCAGAGGUUUGUAGAGAGUGGGAAAUGAAGGCACAUAACGUAGAUAAUGGUGUUAGAUUGGUACUUAUUCGCAUUGGUAUCGUUCUUGGCAAAGAUGGAGGUGCUCUGGCUAAAAUGAUUCCCCUUUUCGUGAUGUUUGCUGGCGGACCAUUAGGCACUGGAAAACAAUGGUUUUCCUGGAUACAUCUGGAUGACUUGGUGAACCUCAUAUGUGAAUCUUUAACAAAUCCUUCUUACAGAGGUGUAAUCAACGGAACUGCUCCAAACCCAGUUCGGAUGUCAGAGAUGUGUGAUCAACUGGGCCAAGUUAUAGGCCGGCCUUCUUGGCUGCCUGUACCAGAUUUUGCUAUCAAAGCAGUCCUCGGUGAAGGUGCCUCUGUUGUUUUGGAAGGGCAAAGAGUGCUACCUGCAAAGGCGAAGGAGUUGGGUUUCUCAUAUAAAUAUCCAUAUGUCAAAGAUGCACUGGAGGCCAUUGUCGGGGGGCUGUAAUGAGGCCAUUACUUUACUGGGAUGUCAUUAUAUUUAUUCUUACUUUGAAGCUUUGCUGGUUCACUUCUUUGAGCAAAUCUUCCACUACGCAAUCUCCAUCCUGGAGACAAUCAACAAGAGGUCAACACAGAUGCAACCGGAGUCCGACCCUAAAUUGUGCUAGCUUUGGAUGCAUGCAUGCAUGCAUGCAUACAUCCAUCAAUCAAUGCAUACAUAAAGAUGGAGGUCAAAUUGUUUUGGGUUUAGGAGCUCAGCUUAAAGGCAUGGAUUGGCUUUCAAUUCGACCUAAAUGUAUCCAAUUUCCACCUUGUUUGGGCCCUUCUUGUCCUGUCCUGGUGCGUCAAGAAACUCAUUGGUUGAUGAAAAUGGUAAUGGGUAGAUAGGUGUAUACAGGUUAUUUACGUAAUACAAUUUUACUUAUUUAUACUGAGAAAUAAUAACUUCUCACUUUGAUGGUUACCUCCUAUGUUGGGCUUCACUUUUGGUGGUUCAGGUAAUUGACGUCAGCUAUCCUCCUACUAUAUAUCUUGAUCGUAUGCUACUGCCAGAGUAGUAGUCAUUCAAUUAGUCAAAAUCUUUGCUAUGUCUCCAUUCGGGUUACUUAAUAUCAAUACACUUAUGGUCACUCAUGCAUAUUCAACCUUUGGUGAGAUGCUCUUGGUCAACUUCA